RNAcentral lists this ribosomal RNA (453 nucleotides) under Streptococcus sp. oral taxon 058. RNAcentral describes it as "bacterial SSU rRNA". It matches the Rfam family "Bacterial small subunit ribosomal RNA", at positions 28 to 467 of the family's 1533-position model. Lineage: Bacteria; Bacillati; Bacillota; Bacilli; Lactobacillales; Streptococcaceae. The record is from RNAcentral.
GACGAACGCUGGCGGCGUGCCUAAUACAUGCAAGUAGAACGCUGAAGGAGGAGCUUGCUUCUCUGGAUGAGUUGCGAACGGGUGAGUAACGCGUAGGUAACCUGCCUGGUAGCGGGGGAUAACUAUUGGAAACGAUAGCUAAUACCGCAUAAUAUUGAUUAUUGCAUGAUAGUCAAUUAAAAGGUGCAAUUGCAUCACUACCAGAUGGACCUGCGUUGUAUUAGCUAGUUGGUGAGGUAACGGCUCACCAAGGCGACGAUACAUAGCCGACCUGAGAGGGUGAUCGGCCACACUGGGACUGAGACACGGCCCAGACUCCUACGGGAGGCAGCAGUAGGGAAUCUUCGGCAAUGGACGGAAGUCUGACCGAGCAACGCCGCGUGAGUGAAGAAGGUUUUCGGAUCGUAAAGCUCUGUUGUAAGAGAAGAACGAGUGUGAGAGUGGAAAGUUCAC